CUUGACAAACCUAUAAGAGGUCCAGCCUGCCCAGUGACUCUGUUCAACGGCCGCGGUAUCCUAACCGUGCGAAGGUAGCGUAAUCACUUGUUCUUUAAAUGAGGACUAGUAUGAAUGGCACCACGAAGGUUAUACUGUCUCCUUUUUCUAAUCAGUGAAACUAAUCUUCCCGUGAAGAAACGGGAAUAAAAAUAUAAGACGAGAAGACCCUAUGGAGCUUUAAACAAAUAUACACCUGCCUCUUUACCAAAAAUUUCAGAAGACAAGUAAUUACCCGGGCAUUUUGAUAUAGCGUUUUAGGUUGGGGUGACCGCGGAGCAAAAAAUAACCUCCGCAGCGAACGGGGGUAUCCCCUAAACCAAGGGCCACAACCCUAAGUAUUAAUAAAUUAACACUAAUUGACCCAAUAAAUUUGAUCAAUGAAC
This 425-nucleotide ribosomal RNA is filed under the name Leptodactylus mystaceus group sp. ABGD cluster 49. RNAcentral describes it as "partial large subunit ribosomal RNA". It matches the Rfam family "Bacterial large subunit ribosomal RNA", at positions 1822 to 2457 of the family's 2925-position model. Lineage: Eukaryota; Metazoa; Chordata; Amphibia; Anura; Leptodactylidae. The record is from RNAcentral.